CCGGCACGGGUGGAGUAACACGUAUCCAACCUGCCGUCUACUCUUGGACAGCCUUCUGAAAGGAAGAUUAAUACAAGAUGGCAUCAUGAGUCCGCAUGUUCACAUGAUUAAAGGUAUCCGGUAGACGAUGGGGAUGCGUUCCAUUAGAUAGUAGGCGGGGUAACGGCCCACCUAGUCUUCGAUGGAUAGGGGUUCUGAGAGGAAGGUCCCCCACAUUGGAACUGAGACACGGUCCAA
This 237-nucleotide ribosomal RNA is filed under the name uncultured bacterium. Its description in RNAcentral is "partial 16S ribosomal RNA". It matches the Rfam family "Bacterial small subunit ribosomal RNA", at positions 100 to 334 of the family's 1533-position model. The record is from RNAcentral.